UGCAGAAUCCCGUGAACCAUCGAGUCUUUGAACGCAAGUUGCGCCCGAUGCCUUUAGGUUGAGGGCACGUCUGCCUGGGUGUCACGC
RNAcentral lists this ribosomal RNA (87 nucleotides) under Pternopetalum delavayi. Its description in RNAcentral is "partial 5.8S ribosomal RNA". It matches the Rfam family "5.8S ribosomal RNA", at positions 73 to 154 of the family's 154-position model. From Rfam's summary of the family: 5.8S ribosomal RNA (5.8S rRNA) is a component of the large subunit of the eukaryotic ribosome. It is transcribed by RNA polymerase I as part of the 45S precursor that also contains 18S and 28S rRNA. The record is from RNAcentral. Lineage: Eukaryota; Viridiplantae; Streptophyta; Magnoliopsida; Apiales; Apiaceae.